CUCGCCUAUAUGAAGUCGGAAUUGCUAGUAAUCGCAGAUCAGCAUGCUGCGGUGAAUACGUUCCCGGGCCUUGUACACACCGCCCGUCACACCAUGAGAGUCGAUAACACCCGAAGCCUGUAGUCUAACCAUAAGGGGGACGCAGUCGAAGGUGGGAUUGAUAAUUAGGGUGAAGUCGUAACAAGGUAAC
This 190-nucleotide ribosomal RNA is filed under the name uncultured bacterium. RNAcentral describes it as "partial 16S ribosomal RNA". It matches the Rfam family "Bacterial small subunit ribosomal RNA", at positions 1311 to 1500 of the family's 1533-position model. The record is from RNAcentral.